AACGAACGCUGGCGGCAGGCCUAACACAUGCAAGUCGAACGGCAGCACCGUGAGUGCUUGCGCUUACGGGUGGAGAGUGGGGGAAGGGGGACGUAGGUACCGGAAUCUACUCUUUCGGGGGGGAUAACGUAGGGAAACGUACGCUAAUAAAGGAUAUGACGUACGGGGGAAGGCAGGGGAUCGUUUGGCCUGGUGGGAGUGAAUGAGCCGAUGACGGAUGGGAUAGUUGGCGGGGUAAAGGCCUACCAAGGCGACGAUCCGCAGCUGGUCUCAGAGGAUGAUCGGCCACAUUGGAACUGAGACACGGUCCAGACUCCUACGGUAGGCAGCAGUGGAGAAUAUUGGGCAAUGGGCGCAAGCCUGAUCCAGCCAUACCGCGUGGGUGAAGAAGGCGCUCGGGUGGGAAAGCCCUUUUGUUGGUAGAGAAAAGCAGCAGGUUAAUACGCCGCGGUACUGACGGUACCCGGAGAAUAAGCACCGGCUAACUUCGUG
RNAcentral lists this ribosomal RNA (492 nucleotides) under uncultured bacterium. RNAcentral's name for it is "partial 16S ribosomal RNA". It matches the Rfam family "Bacterial small subunit ribosomal RNA", at positions 29 to 507 of the family's 1533-position model. The record is from RNAcentral.